UACUGCCCAACUAACUCAAGAUAAUUAAGCUAAGAGCAGCACUAAUUAAAAAAUAUAUAUAAUUAAUAAUAAUUAAUCCAAUUACAAUAAUCUGAGUCCACUAUAUCGAGAGCUUGAUAAGAUUAAUUCAUCAAAGAUGGCUAAUUCCAUGAGACGGUCGGGGCCAAUUUCGCCUUCAUUGUCGAUGAAGAGCUUGAGCAGAAUGUUGCAGAAGCCAGCUUCUCCGGGUUGUGCUUUGGCAAAG
RNAcentral lists this long non-coding RNA (244 nucleotides) under Prunus persica (peach). RNAcentral describes it as "long non-coding RNA (PPER_LNC005502)". The record is from RNAcentral. Lineage: Eukaryota; Viridiplantae; Streptophyta; Magnoliopsida; Rosales; Rosaceae.